RNAcentral lists this unclassified non-coding RNA (216 nucleotides) under Hevea brasiliensis (rubber tree). Lineage: Eukaryota; Viridiplantae; Streptophyta; Magnoliopsida; Malpighiales; Euphorbiaceae. The record is from RNAcentral.
GGCAAAAAUAUUAUUAUUUUAUAUGUUGCUGACGUGACAUAAUUUUAACAAUUGAAAAAUCUAUACUUUUUAACUUUUGUCAAUUAUAGCUAAUUCUAUAAGUUCGUUUCAUUUAUAACCAAUUGACUAAUUUUGAUCUACAUUGGUCAAAAAUUAAUUUUUUAUUACCUAAUACAAUUGCAAAAAUAAAUAUUUAUGUUACUUAGUAUAAUAAAA